This 301-nucleotide ribosomal RNA is filed under the name uncultured bacterium. RNAcentral's name for it is "partial 16S ribosomal RNA". It matches the Rfam family "Bacterial small subunit ribosomal RNA", at positions 509 to 807 of the family's 1533-position model. The record is from RNAcentral.
CAGCCGCCGCGGUAAUACGUAGGGUGCGAGCGUUAAUCGGAAUUACUGGGCGUAAAGCGUGCGCAGGCGGCUUUGCAAGACAGAUGUGAAAUCCCCGGGCUCAACCUGGGAACUGCAUUUGUGACUGCAAGGCUAGAGUACGGUAGAGGGGGAUGGAAUUCCGCGUGUAGCAGUGAAAUGCGUAGAUAUGCGGAGGAACACCAAUGGCGAAGGCAAUCCCCUGGACCUGUACUGACGCUCAUGCACGAAAGCGUGGGGAGCAAACAGGAUUAGAUACCCCCGUAGUCCCUGUCUCUUAUAC